GGGAAUGCGGAGCUUACACAUGCAGUCGAACGGCAACAUGAUCUGUAGCAAUACUGUGGGUGGCGAGUGGCGGACGGGUGAGGAAUACAUCGGAAUCUACCUUGUCGUGGGGGAUAACGUAGGGAAACUUACGCUAAUACCGCAUACGAACUACGGUUGAAAGCGGCGGACCGCAAGGCGUCGCGCGAUUGGAUGAGCCGAUGUCCGAUUAGCUAGUUGGCGGGGUAAAGGCCCACCAAGGCGACGAUCGGUAGCUGGUCUGAGAGGAUGAUCAGCCACACUGGAACUGAGACACGGUCCAGACUCCUACGGGAGGCAGCAGUGGGGAAUAUUGGACAAUGGGCGCAAGCCUGAUCCAGCCAUGCCGCGUGUGUGAAGAAGGCCUUCGGGUUGUAAAGCACUUUUGUCCGGAAAGAAAAGCAUUCGGUUAAUACCCGGGUGUCCUGACGGUACCGGAAGAAUAAGCACCGGCUAACUUCGUGCCAGCAGCCGCGGUAAUACGAAGGGUGCAAGCGUUACUCGGAAUUACUGGGCGUAAAGCGUGCGUAGGUGGUGAGUUAAGUCUGUCGUGAAAGCCCCGGGCUCAACCUGGGAAUGGCGAUGGAUACUGGCUCGCUAGAGUGCGGUAGAGGAGAGUGGAAUUCCCGGUGUAGCAGUGAAAUGCGUAGAGAUCGGGAGGAACAUCAGUUGCGAAGGCGGCUCUCUGGACCAGCACUGACACUGAGGCACGAAAGCGUGGGGAGCAAACAGGAUUAGAUACCCUGGUAGUCCACGCCCUAAACGAUGCGAACUGGACGUUGGGAGCAACUAGGCUCUCAGUGUCGGAGCUAACGCGUUAAGUUCGCCGCCUGGGGAGUACGGUCGCAAGACUGAAACUCAAAGGAAUUGACGGGGGCCCGCACAAGCGGUGGAGUAUGUGGUUUAAUUCGAUGCAACGCGAAGAACCUUACCUGGUCUUGACAUCCACGGAAUCCUUCAGAGAUGAGGAGUGCCUUCGGGAACCGUGAGACAGGUGCUGCAUGGCUGUCGUCAGCUCGUGUCGUGAGAAUGUUGGGUUAAGUCCCCGCAACGAGCGCAACCCUUGUUCUUUAGUUGCCAGGCGAGUAAAGUCGGGAACUUCUA
This 1122-nucleotide ribosomal RNA is filed under the name uncultured bacterium. RNAcentral describes it as "bacterial SSU rRNA". It matches the Rfam family "Bacterial small subunit ribosomal RNA", at positions 29 to 1142 of the family's 1533-position model. The record is from RNAcentral.